AGUGAACGCUGGCGGUAGGCCUAACACAUGCAAGUCGAACGGCAGCACAGUAAGAGCUUGCUCUUACGGGUGGCGAGUGGCGGACGGGUGAGGAAUACAUCGGAAUCUACUUUUUCGUGGGGGAUAACGUAGGGAAACUUACGCUAAUACCGCAUACGACCUACGGGUGAAAGCAGGGGAUCUUCGUACCUUGCGCGAUUGAAUGAGCCGAUGUCGGAUUAGCUAGUUGGCGGGGUAAAGGCCCACCAAGGCGACGAUCCGUAGCUGGUCUGAGAGGAUGAUCAGCCACACUGGAACUGAGACACGGUCCAGACUCCUAAGGGAGGCAGCAGUGGGGAAUAUUGGAAAAUGGGCGCAAGCCUGAUCCAGCCAUACCGCGUGGGUGAAGAAGGCCUUCGGGUUGUAAAGCCCUUUUGUUGGGAAAGAAAAGCAGCAGGUUAAUACCCCGCUGUUCUGACGGUACCCAAAGAAUAAGCACCGGCUAACUUCGUG
This 492-nucleotide ribosomal RNA is filed under the name uncultured bacterium. RNAcentral describes it as "partial 16S ribosomal RNA". It matches the Rfam family "Bacterial small subunit ribosomal RNA", at positions 29 to 507 of the family's 1533-position model. The record is from RNAcentral.